AGGAGAACUUCAGCCAACUGGAGAGCAUACCUUGGGUGAACUUGGUCACACUGGCAAACAAUAUCUCUGAUGUCUGAGUGAGUCCUUGCAGAUUUCAUCAAAAGGACCUGGAUAAUUUAAGGAUGUCAUUAAGUUUCAGACCCUCAGCAUUCUCCUUAGCUGAAUUUGGAUGAAAGAGAAUGAAUGAUAGAGAAGAUGGCUAAUGGAAAAAAGGAAAUGGAAAAGUCCACAACUAAGACAAGAAAACCAAAUUUUGUGAUCUCAGUUCUUUCCAGAUCACAAGGACUUUUCACCUUAGAAGGCACUGGCCUAUGGAAAAUGGAUGUCCAGCACAAGGAUCUUCUACCACGGAAUGAAGUCAUAGCAGGCUUCUAUGAACAAAGAACAGCAAAAGUAUUGCCAAUAAUUAGACAUUGACAGAAAAGGAAAAAGCAAUCUAAAAAGUUGCAGCCCUAAGUGCAUUUGUACUUAUUUGUACAUAUUGUCUUUGUACUCAUUUUGAAGGGAAGAAUAAUAGAGUAUAUACACAUAAAGGAAAACUGUAUCAAAUGCAACCUAGAAACAUUAAAGGACAAACACAGCAUAAUAACAUAUCUUUACAUUGUUGGGGUUUUUUUCCAGUAAUAUGCCUGAAUUUUAGGCAAAGGAAAUUCAGAAAGUAUUGCUUAACUCAUAGCAGAGCAUUUGACAAAUUAUAGAACAUGAAAUUAAGUAUUAGGUGAGGAAGAUGUGGAUUUUUAUAAAAACUGUACACUGAUAAAAUAUCUGUUCUAGUGGGGAUAAAACCCAGUUUUUUAAGGGAGGCAUUCAAGCUCGAAGGAUGCUAUUAGUUGUGGUUUUUUAAGAUAGGUUUCUAAACCAAUGCUGCUUAGUAUUUUCACCAAUAAACCUGGUACAAAAUGAGGAAGGAGCAAAUAGACUGCAGUGAUGACACAGCCAAAGGAAGGGCCAUCAAUGAAAUGCAGGACUGGAGUGAUAUACUCUGGGAACUGGAUGACCUUAAGGACAAGAGAAGAAAUAGGAUGAAGAUGAAUACUCAGCCCAGGGUAGUGUGUAAGGCUAGACACAUUUAGAUUCAGAGCAAAACCCUCAGCUGUUAACAGGAUUGCCAUCAGUGAGUCCAAACCUGCAUGAUGAGGGAGAAACAGGCCUGCUCAAUCACAGGAUGACUAAGAAGCACAAGCAUGAGAGAGCAGAAAAAAGGGUGAAAGCAGGGGCAGUUUCAAGAUACUGUCAACAGAGAGGAAAAAUUUAUUCAAUUGUGUGAGACUCAGCUGAGGCCUCAUCUAGAAUAUUGUGUGCAGUGCUCUGCAUGGCUGGGUAAGAUUAAAUAAACCUUGACCAAAUGGAAGAUACCUGAAUAAAUGGAAAUCUAUAAGUAUUGACUUGGUUAAUCUAAUGAGGGAUGAGAGUAGAUUGAUUACCCUAAGUAAAUACAGUACUACAUGAGAGAGGGAGAGGAAGCAUGUAUAAAUCAUGUGUAAUUGCAUUAACAUUAAAAGUGAAGAGGAGUUAUCUAACCCUCAGAGUAGCAAGUCCUUAAGCAGCCUUUCAAUAGGAAUGGCAGAUGUAAAGCAUCCACCUGGUCUCAAGAUAGGUCUCAGGUGGCUUGUGGAAUGAUUUUGUGUUGUGAUGCUGUUACAGAGAGGGAUUGGAGUCUGAAACCCAGUGUGCUUCCAUGUCUGUCCACUUCCACAUCGGUCCACAACCCUGAUGCAACCUACCAGUUGAACCUUCUGUAUCAAAUGGAAUAUUCUGAUUGUUCAAGGAGGUCCUGGUAGGCUCUAGGUUUAUCUUGCAGCACCCACACUUCCUGUAAGGAAUUAUGUUUGUUGGCAGAGACAGCACUCUGUAGAAUGAGUAUUUAUGGAUAAGCAUUUGGGGUUUUGAAAGUAAUUUUUGUCUGCAUUUUGUACACAAUUGCCCUCCAAUUCCCCUCUUCCUCCAUUUUAACUGUUCUGCCAUCUACAUUGGUUCAUUUUCCUCCUAGUCCACACAAAUGGUUUCUUUUCUCCAGGGCUUCCAACUACCUUUACAAUAUUGCAAGUGAAUAAUAGUAAAAAUAGCUCAUUGCUUCCAAGCCGAGUAGCCAUCUGUAAAGGCAUUGGCAUCCUUUCUUUUAAAAUAAAUAAGUCUUUGUUAAAUAUUUUAGACUUAGGUUAUAUCAGCAGCUUAAAAAGAUGAUGCCAGUGUAUUGUAUUAUUUUUCCCAAGGAAGAAGCAUCCAUGCCUUACAAGACAUUGAGGAGCAGUUCAGAGGCACAUCAUCAUAGCCUUGGUUGUCUGAGCCCUUGUCAAGACUCCUUUGUCCAACUCUGUUUUUCUGUCAGCAUCUCUCCAAUGCACACAAGGAUUUGAAGUAAGACUCAUAAAAUAGGAAGGUUGUGGCUUUACUGCAGGGCUACCAGCUGGAGGCUUGUGCAGAUGAAAGCAAAUAAGUCCCUGAAAGACUAGCAUUUAAGAGAUGCCUUGGAGGUGAAACAAAACAUUCACAACAAAGCGGUAUGUUACCUACUGUGCUGAAUUUUGUGAGCUGUGUGUUGACUACCACCCAAAAGCAGAUCCAAAUGAGGGAACCCAGUGAGGAAAACUUCUCUUGAAUCACAAUCCUGGCUUGACUGAAAUAUCUGGGUUUGUGGUGAGAUUUCAGUUUGUGAAGCUUUCAGCCACAUAGUUUCACUUCAUUCAAAGAAAGUGGAUUGGGUUGGGAUCAAUAGAUGAAAAUUUAUGCCCCAUUUGUGUGACUAGUAGGUACAUUUGUGGUAACUCACAUGAAAAUUUACAGUGUGCUCCAAAGGACCCCAAGUUUCCUUUCCUGUUAACAUUCUGCAGUAUUUCCUAUGUCAACAAAUCUUCUGAGUGGCAUUCAGCACUAAGAGCUUCGAUAGUCCUAGGUUUUACGUGAAUUUCUGUCUUCUUCUUCUUGUUAAGUGUUUGUGAAUAUAUUAUUAAAAUACCUAGUAGGAAACGCCAGUAAACUGAUGUCAACUUUAAUUUAGCUACACACAAAUAAUUUGCUGUCCUAAGUAGAAGCCUUGGAGGUUGAUUUUCAUCUCUCUUGUUGACUUCAUUUGAAAAUAUGUAUUGUGGCUUCUGCUGAAAUAGGUCCAGAAUUGUAGGGACGGCAGUACAUGUCUGGAUGCUGGAGAAAUAAAGGUUGUAAAAUGCAUUGAUUUUGCUCUUUCAAGGAGAGCUUAUCCUUAGGGCUGAUAGAUGCAAUGUGAGUCAUUGUUGUCACUGAAUAUUGUCCACUGAGUAUUGUCCACUGUUUCCAGUAGAAACAAUAACAAUGACACUGCCUGACCAAGGCACACCUGCCUGAUUUUGAGUUCCUCCUGCAGGCAGGUUAACUCUGCAUCACGCCAUUCCACGUCACCAGAACAGGCCGCUUGUGAGCUAAGAAAAGUAUCAUUUUAUUGUGUGCAUAAACUUCCAUCAAGAGUCUGCUGCAAAACAGCUUGUGUUUGGAGUUGGAAUAUUUAUGGAGCAUCUUGCAAACCAUUUUCAAGUUCUGCCGUUUAACACCUUCUUUGUGCCAUAUGUUCUGCCGUAUCCUUCUCGUUUUUCUAACGGAGAUGUUAAAUCUUGGUGCACUAAAUCUCACAGUUCGGGGAAGGUGCAUGGGGGGCAAAUGAGGGGGUUUUCCUUUUGUUUUAAUUUGCAGUUGGCGAGCUAACAUAUUUGAUGCUUCUCUUACCCCCACCCCCAAAAUGAAAUGUAGUUUACACUUCAAAGCCGUGCAGGCAUUUGGAUAAAGCGUAUCUAUUUAUGGCUAGCCUAUAGCAUUUAUGCAUUUAUCCUUGCCUAGCAUGGAAGCUGAUGGAGUUGUGGGUCCCCGCCAGGACGGUGACUUAUAUGUUUUCUAAGCCCUGGUGCUUCCUCUCCUGAAAGCUGUCUUGAAGUAGAGCAGCUUUAGAGGAAUCAGAGUUUGUAGGAUUGUUGUCAAAAAAAUCAUUACUUAUCUCUAUUUUAGUGAGGGGUAAGCUGCCUUGGAAUACCUUGAAUUUUUCAUUAAGUAAGAACAUCCCUCAGUGCAACUUCCUUCCCAACCUCAGCUCAGCAUCUCAUCAGACUAGCUUUUCUUGCUGUAACUCUUCUAUACACUUCAAGUAUAUAAUAUUUGUCUUGUAUUUUGUUCAAAAAAGCUCAGCUUUUCACAGCUCUACACCUCUGUUUGCAUCACAUACUGCUUAUAAAUAGGAUCUAGUUAAGGGAUUGAAAGUAGGAAGCGAAGAAGCCAGCAAAUUUUUCAAACUAUGUUAAAAUUCAAGUAUUAAAAUGUUAUGAUUUAGGUUCAUUUGAUGUAUUUUUUGGAACAUAUUUAAGAGCUUAUAAACUUGAUGCUAUUCAGUAAGUCAUUUUGGCCCAUAUUGUUCCCACACUGUUUAAAAUUUUGUAACAACACCCUGUUGGAAAGCAAAUAAACGUAAAAAAAAAUGCAGUUUCUGUAUUUUUAAAAAAUGGACUUUAAUGAAUAACUAAGGACCUAAUCAGUGUAGCUCCUCUGCUACACUGGGCAAAAAUUUUGACCUCUGGCUGCCAAGUGUUUGUCUGGUGGUUUCAUUACCAGUCAUUCUGUUGUAGGGACUCAGGGCUUUUAGAGCUCCUGAAUUUCUAACUUCUCAUGUAGGAAACUUUGCCAAUGUUU
Prinia subflava (tawny-flanked prinia) is the source of this 4647-nucleotide long non-coding RNA. RefSeq lists it as uncharacterized. The record is from RefSeq and is a predicted model, not a curated record. The transcript is spliced from 3 exons. NCBI's taxonomy places the organism in Eukaryota, Metazoa, Chordata, Aves, Passeriformes, Cisticolidae.